GACAGAGGCCUCAAGCGUUAGGCGGAAUCACUGGGCUUAAAGCGUGUGUAGGCGGACGCCUAAGUACCUUGUGAAAUCCCACGGCUCACCCGUGGAACUGCUGGGUAUACUGGGUGUCUUGGGCCAUUCAGGGGCAAACUGGAACAAGCGGUGGAGCGGUGAAAUGCGUAGAUAUCGCUUGGAACGCCGAAGGUGAAAACAGGUUGCUGGGGAUGCGCCGACGCUGGAGAACACGAAAGCCAGGGGAGCAAACGGG
RNAcentral lists this ribosomal RNA (256 nucleotides) under uncultured bacterium. RNAcentral describes it as "partial 16S ribosomal RNA". It matches the Rfam family "Bacterial small subunit ribosomal RNA", at positions 524 to 776 of the family's 1533-position model. The record is from RNAcentral.